UGGUGUGGAUGAUGAGAUAAUCAAUUUUACAGUUAUCCCUGGCUGAUAUUGCAGAUGCUGAAAAUUUGUAAUCUGACACAUAU
Molecule: small nucleolar RNA, 83 nt
Organism: Lupinus angustifolius (narrow-leaved blue lupine)
Lineage: Eukaryota; Viridiplantae; Streptophyta; Magnoliopsida; Fabales; Fabaceae
Rfam family: Small nucleolar RNA R38
About the family: snoR38 is a C/D box small nucleolar RNA conserved across yeast, human, Arabidopsis and rice. It is encoded in the intron of elongation factor-1 gamma in both pombe and cerevisiae. snoR38 guides the methylation of 2'-O-ribose sites in 28S rRNA.
Source: Rfam